CCUACGGGUGACAGCAGUGGGGAAUAUUGCACAAUGGGGGAAACCCUGAUGCAGCAACGCCGCGUGAGUGAAGAAGUAUUUCGGUAUGUAAAGCUCUAUCAGCAGGGAAGAAGAUGACGGUACCUGAUUAAGAAGCCCCGGCUAACUACGUGCCAGCAGCCGCGGUAAUACGUAGGGGGCAAGCGUUAUCCGGAUUUACUGGGUGUAAAGGGAGCGCAGACGGCAGUGCAAGUCUGGAGUGAAAGCCCGGGGCCCAACCCCGGAACUGCUCUGGAAACUGUAGUUCUUGAGUACUGGAGAGGCAGACGGAAUUCCUAGUGUAGCGGUGAAAUGCGUAGAUAUUAGGAGGAACACCAGUGGCGAAGGCGGUCUGCUGGACAGCAACUGACGCUGAGGCGCGAAAGCGUGGGGAGCAAACAGGAUUAGAUACCCCUGUAGUC
This 440-nucleotide ribosomal RNA is filed under the name uncultured bacterium. RNAcentral's name for it is "partial 16S ribosomal RNA". It matches the Rfam family "Bacterial small subunit ribosomal RNA", at positions 338 to 795 of the family's 1533-position model. The record is from RNAcentral.